Molecule: ribosomal RNA, 378 nt
Filed under: uncultured bacterium
Lineage: Bacteria
Description: bacterial SSU rRNA
Rfam family: Bacterial small subunit ribosomal RNA
Source: RNAcentral
GUAGUCCACGCCGUAAACGAUGUCAACUAGCCGUUGGGCUCCUUGAGGGUCUAGUGGCGCAGCUAACGCGAUAAGUUGACCGCCUGGGGAGUACGGCCGCAAGGUUAAAACUCAAAUGAAUUGACGGGGGCCCGCACAAGCGGUGGAGCAUGUGGUUUAAUUCGAUGCAACGCGAAGAACCUUACCAGGCCUUGACAUCCCCGGAACUUGGCAGAGAUGCCUUGGUGCCUUCGGGAACCGGGUGACAGGUGCUGCAUGGCUGUCGUCAGCUCGUGUCGUGAGAUGUUGGGUUAAGUCCCGUAACGAGCGCAACCCUUGUCCUUAGUUGCCAGCGCGUAAUGGCGGGAACUCUAAGGAGACUGCCGGUGACAAACCGGA